CUGUGAUAGCUUUUCACUUGAAACCGAAAAUUGUUAUUCACUACCAAAGUCUUUUCAAGGAAUAGCAAUCUCCAUAACUCUAAUUUGAAAUUUGACACAGUUAUGCACAUUUUUAACUUUUUUGUUAAAUUUUAAGAUAAAGUCAAUUAUCUCUCAUACUUUGAAAGCUUUUGACUUGAAACUUAAAAUAGUAAUUUACUACUUAACCAGGAGAAACAAUUCCAAUUACUCUGAUUUGAAUUUGAUUUUGAGUUAUACCCCUUUUAAUUCUUUUUUGUUUAAUGUUUUAAAACGUUUUAAUUGACAAAGAUCUAAUUCAGAAUCAAGUACUAAGAAAAGUCGAGCGUGCCGUCUUACGGACAGCUCAACAACGAGACAUAACUCUUUCCUCCUUAUUUGUUUAAUUAUCUCCCUAUAUUUGAUAUCUGUCCAUAUUCGUAUCGAUUAGAACUCAUGAUUUAGAUUUGAAACCAAAAUGGCACUUAUGAUACGUUUCACGUAAUACUUUUUCAAGUGAAAAUGUGCGACGCACACGAAUCAUUACCCUACGUUUUGACUUAUGUCCCUUUGGUAAGUUUUACUGUCCGGGGCAUUACACUACAACUGAUGUAGGGAAUUUACGUUGAUAGUAUACAAUGACCGAGGACAUUGAGAUAAGUGCAGCGUACAAGGACAUAACUUAUACCAUGCUUUUUUUAAGGAUAUCUCCGUAUAUUAAUUUCUUUUAUAUAGGACAAAAAUCUCUAAAUAUAUAGACUAUAUAUAUUAAGUAAUAUAUACCUUAAAAUAAUUUGCUAAUUUUUACAUGCCUAUUUUGCAAAAAAAAAACGGGACAUAAUAUGGAAUGCUAUUAUCCGCCCAUCUGUCCGUCUUUUAACAUUGUCUGUAAGUAACAAAGUGUAGGCAUUUAUCUAGAGCAUUUGAUUUUCAAGGGAAAUAAUUGUGGUCUGACUGUAUUAUUUUGAAAAUCACAGUUGAGAUUUUUUUAUGUGUGCACCGGUACAGUUUUGCGGGGAAGCGGAAGUUGCCAUGGAAUUUUGUCUUCUUCUAAAAACAAGUGUCUGAUACAUGUAGUUGCAGUCUGUCUUUGGAAGCUGUAGAAAUAACAAGAAAGAGGCUGACAUAAUGUUUUGGUAGGGAAAAGUUUGAGUAUGUACAUAUACAGUUGUUUGACCUGUCUUACCCUGUGGCAGUCCAAGAAGAUGUUACCAUUAUGAAAAAUGCAGGAGAACUUGAAGACAAUGGUUAGUGCAGAAGGGACAUAAAAGUUAUGACAAAAGUAACAGAUAUAAAUAAGUGCUACAAGUGUGUUGUCAUGUGAAAUGGAAUUUACCCCAACUGUGCUGCAAGAUGUAUAUUUCAACUGCAAGACAGCCAUGCACCAGCUGUAAACUGAGAUGGACCCAUAUAAUAAAUAUGUUGACUUUUCUAUGUAUUAUCAUCUGUACAGAAUGUGUUCAUGACAAGACUGUAUACAUAUAUUGUUAAAUCAUUUUUUAUUUCCAUUAUUGCAUGCAUGUAAGAAGCAAGCAUUUAACAAUUGCAUUCAUAGAAGUGUUAAAAUGUGAUCAAUCUAAUUUAAAGAAACACAUUUAAUUGGACUUUUUAAAUUUCAUAAUAUUUGUGGUGGAGACUGACCCAGUCAUUCAGCAACUUAUACUGUCUGUGUGUCAUUUCUUGUAUGUUAUAGUUUUCUUAAUAAUACAUUAAAUGUCAAAGUUAUGGUAAGAUGAACUCAUUCAUCACUUGUAGAUUAAUGUUAAAGCAGUUCAACAUUUUACCAUAAGUUAACUAAUAUUCUGUUUAACCAGAGUUGUCACAUAUUUUCAUAUAAAUAUUUGUAUAAUACAGUCUAAUCUAAUCUACAUAUGAUGUUCCACAAUUUUUUAGUUAUAUUUUAUGUUGAUAUUUUAUGUUGUUUUCAUGUCUCAACAUAUAAUUACUAACAUCAAAGAAACUUAAGUAUUUUACAAUUUGGUUGGUAUAAAUGGUUGUUUUGUUUAUAUAUUUUUUUUUUCCAUCCAGGAGAAUAAAGAAAUAUACAUUUCAAAAUAUCUCAUCAUUCCAGAUAAGUACACUACAUAAUCAAGAUAAAAGAAAUAAGAACAAAAUAUGUUGGUGGAAUUUUAUUUUCAAAAAUUUGAUAUACAGUCUUUGUAGUAUUUACUUCUUUAGAUAUGUUGGACUGAAAUGGGAAUAACAACAUACUUUAAAUUUUUGUAGUCAUAAGUUAAUAUGGGAAUUAUUAACUUAACUUAAAAAGAUUUUAUCUCACUGUUAUGCCAUCUGAGCUUUAAUAUUUUUCAACAUUGUCAUUGGCAACAAGGCUCAAAAUUAUUUGUUGUGUAUACCUUGCAUUCAUGUGUGAUAAAUGCUUUUAUGGUAUUCUUUAAUAUAAUUUAUGCUUUUCAUCUUACCAUGGAUUAAAAAAAUAUAAAUUUAUUUGUCUGAAAAUUAAGGUAAAAAUACUGACUGAUUAAAUUGCAAUAUAAGAAAGCUUAUUUGAGAUAAAGGGAGGUAACUCCAUAAAAAAAUAUGUAGAAUGUAGAUGAUAAAUGUAAUGAAGGGAGGUAAUAAAAUAUUGUGAAGUUACUAGUCUUCAUUUCUUUGAUGAGCUAAUUAAUUGUUUUACAUUUUGGUUUAUUAACUACAAGUAUGACCUGUGUACCUGUCCUGAAGGAAAAUAAAAUAGGUUGUUUGA
Molecule: long non-coding RNA, 2701 nt
Organism: Mercenaria mercenaria
Lineage: Eukaryota; Metazoa; Mollusca; Bivalvia; Venerida; Veneridae
Exons: 5
Source: RefSeq, a predicted model, not a curated record